UACGUAGGCAGCAAGCGUUGUUCGGAGUUACUGGGCGUAAAGGGUGCGUAGGCGGCCCUGUAAGUAUGGUGUGAAAUCUCCCGGCUUAACUGGGAGGGUGCGCUAUAGACUGCGGGGCUCGAGUGUGGGAGAGGAAAGUGGAAUUCCUGGUGUAGCGGUGAAAUGCGUAGAUAUCAGGAGGAACACCGGUGGUGUAAACGGCUUUCUGGACCAUAACUGACGCUGAGGCACGAAAGCGUGGGUAGCAAACAGGAUUAGAAAACCCGUGU
RNAcentral lists this ribosomal RNA (269 nucleotides) under uncultured bacterium. RNAcentral's name for it is "partial 16S ribosomal RNA". It matches the Rfam family "Bacterial small subunit ribosomal RNA", at positions 524 to 792 of the family's 1533-position model. The record is from RNAcentral.